Salvia splendens (bonfire salvia) is the source of this 6964-nucleotide long non-coding RNA. RefSeq lists it as uncharacterized. The transcript has 5 exons. Lineage: Eukaryota; Viridiplantae; Streptophyta; Magnoliopsida; Lamiales; Lamiaceae. The record is from RefSeq and is a predicted model, not a curated record.
AGCAGCUCUCUCUCUCUCUCCCACUUGGACUCGCCGCCACCAGCCUCACCGCCGCCGCUCGCGGAGCGGCGGCGCUCCUCUCUCCUCUAUCUCUCUUCUCUCUUCACCGUCGCGCCGCCAUCCUCACCGUUUUCUCCGUCCAGCCGCCACCGCUGCGGGUCCGCCGUCGUCGCGGGUUCGCAUCCCCGCCGCCAUCACCGAGAAUCUUUCCUCCAGUCGCCGACGCCGUUUCCGACAUGUAGGUGAUUCAAGGAAAGAAAAGGAAGGAUGUGUUUUUGGAGCGUGGGCUGCCAUCGUCGGCGACGGAGUGCCGAGCUCGUUGCCGUAAGUUCCUCCGGCAGGCUCCUAUGUCAUUUCAAGCUAAGUUCCCAUUAUUCAUUAAGAAUCUUAUAUUUUUAUGUUCUUUGGAUGCUAUGGCUUCUAUGUCCUUGAGGUGCUAAGAUGUCUAUAUGAAAUCCAUAUCAUGCUAAAUUGGUGAUAGGGCAGCAGAUUUUCGUCCCUAAAUUAAGUUUAUGAGUUCUUUGCUAGAGAUUGUUAUUUCUAUAUUUUCUUUGCUAUAGAUGCAAUUUGCUAGUAUUCGUCAGUGGCUAAAAUCUUGCCAUAUGCAUGUUGUGGAAAGAAGAAAAAAAAACUUAUGUCGUUAUUCCUCACCUUUUUAUGUGUUAGGAAAAAGCUUCACUACAACUUUCCACUGAUGUGUACGUCCUCUUUCUUUUUCUGCUUUGUUGGAAUUGAUUUGGAUUAGUGUAUUGUUUGGUUGGAGGUGGGGUAGUGAAGGCGAUGGCUGGUUGGUAUGUAUAUAAUAGUACAACAAGUGGUAUGACAAAAUCCUCUCAAAUAUUCUUUUAGCAGAGAAAAUGAUGAUUACACCGACAUCCCAUUUAAUGCACCAUUAAAUGCUGUCAGAAGGAUUAUUUUUCUUUAGAAAAUUUUGGGUUGCAGCAUUAAAUGCUGUGUAAGAGCCUCUGAAUCUGCCUUCCCUUUUGAAUUUUUUUUAUUAUUUUAUUUAUUAUUUUAUUUAUUUUUUUGUAAUUAUUUGAUUAUUUAAUUUGGUUUAGGUAUAAUCGGCUCAAGUUCGUGGCCGUCCAUGUAGAAGUGCCCGUCUUCUUAAAACAUAUGAUGCAUAAAUUAAAUUUUGUUGGACUUUAAUUGGAUGUAUAAGACAUCAAGAUUUUAAUUUUGGGAUCUUAUUUAUUUAUUUAUUUAUUUAGAUAUAUUAUAUUCAUAUAUGUGUAAUAUAUUUACAUGUUCUAUUCACUUGCCUGACAUCAAAACAAACAACAACGACAAUCUAUCUUAGCUCAGAUUUAAUCGCAUAAAAGUCACUUAUAUAGAUAACCAAGCUAAUAAUAUUGUUUCUAAUAAUAUCAGCUUAGCGGGUCGUUACAUAUAGGCAUAGUUUGAUGGCUAGCUAUGUUAAUUCUAGACUAGUUUAUUUAAACUAAUUUUUUUUAUCAUUUGAUAGUAUGGUUUAUUUAUCACUUUGAAUGAUGGAUUAGAUUGAAAGAAUCACAUAACAUAUAACAUGCAAGCAGUGGCGGAUCCAAGAAUUUUCGUUUGGGGGUGCGACAAACAAUUAUGGUUUUUUAAUUAUUAAAAACGUGAAGAUGUGCAUCAGAAGAAAAUCGAAAAGAUAAAAAGAAAGAGAAUUAAAAUCCUUAUGAAUAUUUAAAAAAUAUAUAAUGAUAAAGAUAUAAGAAAAUGGGUCAAUUUUUUUAGAAAUAGGAAAUUAUUGGUUUUUAAUGCAAUAGAAAAAACUAUACAGAAAAAAAUAUGUAUAAAAUACAUAAGUUCGAAAAAUAGAAAAAUAAAGAUAGGUGCCUUAAAUAAGUUUCUAUAUUCGAAUGCAGUUUUGAAAAAGAGAGAAAAGAAUAAAUAUGAGAAAUGUAAUAGUACUACUAUUUGCAUAAAUAAAAGUGGAAAGAAGUGAAACAUAAAAGAUGAGAAGGCGCAACUAAUAAGCUUCGAACACUGGUCUUAUGGAUGAAAGUUAGAGACACAACCUGUAACAUCCCGAAUUAUAGGCACCAAUAAAAGGUUUGGAUAUGUGGUGAGGAAUAGUAGUUAAGUUAAACCGUAAGGUAUAAAUUUGAUACGAAAUGCCGAUUAGUCAAUUUUCGGCAAUUUCUUUUGUCCGUGUAAAAUCAUAAAUCGAAGCUAAGGGGUAAUAAUUUUAUAAAUUACAAAUUAUGGCCUAGAAUAAUUGUUGAUAAUGUGAGGAAUUGUUUUGGGCCAUUUGAAGGUAAUUAAAAAAAUUUCUAUCGCCGAUAAUUUCAGUUUUUAACGAAAACGAUCGGCGAAACUUUUGAAGAUAUAGACAGGAAUAAUUUUGCCUUAAACUAGAAUUUAAAUGCUAAAUGAUGAUAUAAAGAGUUCCUAAAUAUGAUAUCAUAUGAUAGGGCAAUAAAAUGUUACAAGAUAAUUAAUUUAUUUAAAAACUAACUAAAUAAUUAAAUAAUGAUUAGAAUUCUCUAGAGAAUUCUUUUGUCUAUCAUCAACUCCAAACCCCCCCCCCUCAUUUCAGCCACAAGCACGUCCUCCCCCUCUCCAUGGAAGACCAAAAGCUUAAGCUUUUUAAUUUCCAAAUAUUUGUCAUUUAAUCGGUAAAUCGAUCGGGUAAUCUUGUAUCCGCCAGCAAAUCGAGGUUAGAGUCGACAUUAUGUCAGUGGUGUUGCGCAGCUUUGCAUCUUUGGCGAGUCACUGGUGGUCAACUUGGUUUAGUAGUCGUGGCAUGUUAUGUAAUAGUUUAAUCUUUAACCUUCCGCUGGAUAAAUGUUAAGUUUUUAAAUGUAAUAGAUUUUAAUUAUGCUUUUAAGCUAAAAAGAAAAAGGAAAAAUUUCAGCACGGGUUUUCGAUACUGAAACGUGACAUCACUUAUUCGGUGGGUUACCUACCGGGUAAGGGGUGUUACAAGUUUUGGUAUCAUAGCCUAGGUUUAGGCGGUUCUGGAAAGAAGUGAUUCAGUAAAGUGUGUAGUAACAUGCCACAUAGGUUUAAUUGUCUGUUAGUACCAGUGACUCGAUGCAGCUGCUUAUGUCUAAAGUGGAAAGAAGUUAACAAGGUACGGGACAUAGUUUCCCGUGUGACCGAGAAAGAUGUUAUAUGGGACUGGCCACCCCAUAUAGCUCUAAUCUCGGUAGCGUCGGUAUGUGUAAAAGAUUUAAAAAAAAAAAUUCAGGGAGGAUGGGUCUGAAAAUGUUGAUGAAAAGUAUGUCCUAAUGAAAGAUACUAAUAAAUAUAGGCAGAUUAUGAAAGAGUAUAAGUAAAAGAGAAGAAAAUGAGUUAAAGGAAUGAUAUGGAAAGAAAGUAAGUUAUAGACUAAGUGACCAUCAUGAUAUAAAAGUGUAACACGAAAAUUCACAAAGGUAUGUGGAUUGUCUGAUAUAAGAUGGAUUAAGAGUCAUAAAGUAAUAUCCUAUAAUGAUAAACAAAAGUAUAGAAAUAUGUGAAAGGAAAUGUGUUUGGCAAAAUGAUAAAUAUUGAUAUGAAAACAUAUGAAACUAUAAGGCAUUAUAUGAAUAAAACCAUAAAUGUGCGAAUGAGAAAAUGCGACGAAUAAGAAAUAAAUGAUAUGAUCUGAACAUGUGUGCCCAUAUAUGGAUUACAUGUGUACUUCGAAUCGGGCAAUAUGAGAUAUGACGUGAUGUGAUGGAAAUAUGAACUGAAUAAUCGUGCAAGACAAUAAAUUAUAUGAUUGGAAAUGUGAACUCCGUGAGAAUUAUGUGUGCGCUCGAAUACGAGCUAUAUAAAUGUUAGAACCGAAUGAUGAUUCAGAAAUGAAAUGGAAAAUGGGAAUGUAUGCUCUAAGCGAGCUGUAUAGUAUAUGAUAAGGUAUGUCUAAAAAUAUGAGUUUGAAAUUGAGCUAUAUGAUAUAAAAUGGUAUUCUGGUUGAAAGUGUUGUCUGUGAUCUGUAAAUGUGUUAGUUAUGGAUAAGAAUGAGUUUUGAAAAUAAAUAUGGUUGUUAAUGAAUACUGACUUGAUAUUUGAAUUAUGUUGUGAUUUGGUGGUUUGAUUUGAUAAUCUGUGAUUAACAUUGUAUCUUGUUGGUUUUGGGGAAGCACUGGUUAUAGAGAAAACGCUGCCCAAUUUUUGCUAGAAAUUGAUCAGAUAAAUUAAUACGAAGUUGUGGUAAAUAAACUGAUAAGUGAUAAUACAUGAAGAGAAUGAUGUUACAUGAUGACUUAAGAAAGGAAAAAGGGAAAAGAUAAGAAGUGUUGUGAAUGAUAAUAAAGGAAAACGUAAUGAAAUAAUGAUAUGUGGAAAGUGAAAUACACCCUUCGUCGGCUAUAAGUGCCCGAAUAGGGACUAUGCAAUUGGGACUAUACAAUAUAUGAUGAGUAUGUGAAUUAUACAUAUGCGUGAUGAAUAUGAUAUGUGCGCCUUAUGUGGACAAAGAAAAGAUGCAAAUAACAUGGAAAUUACUAUGUAAAGAAAUGAUAAUGUGACAAAUGUGCUUGAAAUAUAUUAGAGAUAAUGAUAAUAUUAUUAUGUGAUCGCAAAAUGUGGCUAUGUGUUAAGAUGUGAUUAUGUGAUUUUGUAUGUCAUUCUGUGUUUGGUUAUGGAAGUGAGGAUACGCUAUGUAGAUGAGGAUAUAGGAUGUCGUGGAAUGGCAUACGUAUAUGCGACGCUUAUAGGAAUGAUGUAAACCCGAGGGAAUUUCGAGGACGAAAUUCCUUUUAGGGGGGAUGAGUUGUAACAUCCCGAAUUAUAGGCACCAAUAAAAGGUUUGGAUAUGUGGUGAGGAAUAGUAGUUAAGUUAAACCGUAAGGUAUAAAUUUGAUACGAAAUGCCGAUUAGUCAAUUUUCGGCAAUUUCUUUUGUCCGUGUAAAAUCAUAAAUCGAAGCUAAGGGGUAAUAAUUUUAUAAAUUACCAAUUAUGGCCUAGAAUAAUUGUUGAUAAUGUGAGGAAUUGUUUUGGGCCAUUUGAAGGUAAUUAAAAAAAUUUCUAUCGCCGAUAAUUUCAGUUUUUAACGAAAACGAUCGGCGAAACUUUUGAAGAUAUAGACAGGAAUAAUUUUGCCUUAAACUAGAAUUUAAAUGCUAAAUGAUGAUAUAAAGAGUUCCUAAAUGUGAUAUCAUAUGAUAGGGCAAUAAAAUGUUACAAGAUAAUUAAUUUAUUUAAAAACUAACUAAAUAAUUAAAUAAUGAUUAGAAUUCUCUAGAGAAUUCUUUUGUCUAUCAUCAACUCCAAACCCCCCCUCAUUUCAGCCACAAGCACGUCCUCCCCCUCUCCAUGGAAGACCAAAAGCUUAAGCUUUUUAAUUUCCAAAUAUUUGUCAUUUAAUCGGUAAAUCGAUCGGGUAAUCUUGUAUCCGCCAGCAAAUCGAGCGAAGGAGCAUAUAGUGCGUUUUGAUCACAAAGGAGUGGAUUUAGAGGGUAGAGAAGUAUCAAGGUGAAAUAGGCUUAUGUUCAUAAGCCUGCGAGGUUAGAGUCGACAUUAUGUCAGUGGUGUUGCGCAGCUUUGCAUCUUUGGUGAGUCACUGGUGGUCAACUUGGUUUAGUAGUCGUGGCAUGUUAUGUAAUAGUUUAAUCUUUAACCAUCCGCUGGAUAAAUGUUAAGUUUUUAAAUGUAAUAGAUUUUAAUUAUGCUUUUAAGCUAAAAAGAAAAAGGAAAAAUUUCAGCACGGGUUUUCGAUACUGAAACGUGACAUCACUUAUUCGGUGGGUUACCUACCGGGUAAGGGGUGUUACAAGUUUUGGUAUCAUAGCCUAGGUUUAGGCGGUUCUGGAAAGAAGUGAUUCAGUAAAGUGUGUAGAAACAUGCCACAUAGGUUUAAUUGUCUGUUAGUACCAGUGACUCGAUGCAGCUGCUUAUGUCUAAAGUGGAAAGAAGUUAACAAGGUACGGGACAUAGUUUCCCGUGUGACCGAGAAAGAUGUUAUAUGGGACUGGCCACCCCAUAUAGCUCUAAUCUCGGUAGCGUCGGUAUGUGUAAAAGAUUUAAAAAAAAAAUUCAGGGAGGAUGGGUCUGAAAAUGUUGAUGAAAAGUAUGUCCUAAUGAAAGAUACUAAUAAAUAUAUGCAGAUUAUGAAAGAGUAUAAGUAAAAGAGAAGAAAAUGAGUUAAAGGAAUGAUAUGGAAAGAAAGUAAGUUAUAGACUAAGUGACCAUCAUGAUAUAAAAGUGUAACACGAAAAUUCACAAAGGUAUGUGGAUUGUCUGAUAUAAGAUGGAUUAAGAGUCAUAAAGUAAUAUCCUAUAAUGAUAAACAAAAGUAUAGAAAUAUGUGAAAGGAAAUGUGUUUGGCAAAAUGAUAAAUAUUGAUAUGAAAACAUAUGAAACUAUAAGGCAUUAUAUGAAUAAAACCAUAAAUGUGCGAAUGAGAAAAUGCGACGAAUAAGAAAUAAAUGAUAUGAUCUGAACAUGUGUGCCCAUAUAUGGAUUACAUGUGUACUUCGAAUCGGGCAAUAUGAGAUAUGACGUGAUGUGAUGGAAAUAUGAACUGAAUAAUCGUGCAAGACAAUAAAUUAUAUGAUUGGAAAUGUGAACUCCGUGAGAAUUAUGUGUGCGCUCGAAUACGAGCUAUAUAAAUGUUAGAACCGAAUGAUGAUUCAGAAAUGAAAUGGAAAAUGGGAAUGUAUGCUCUAAGCGAGCUGUAUAGUAUAUGAUAAGGUAUGUCUAAAAAUAUGAGUUUGAAAUUGAGCUAUAUGAUAUAAAAUGGUAUUCUGGUUGAAAGUGUUGUCUGUGAUCUGUAAAUGUGUUAGUUAUGGAUAAGAAUGAGUUUUGAAAAUAAAUAUGGUUGUUGAUGAAUACUGACUUGAUAUUUGAAUUAUGUUGUGAUUUGGUGGUUUGAUUUGAUAAUCUGUGAUUAACAUUGUAUCUUGUUGGUUUUGGGGAAGCACUGGUUAUAGAGAAAACGCUGCCCAAUUUUUGCUAGAAAUUGAUCAGAUAAAUUAAUACGAAGUUGUGGUAAAUAAACUGAUAAGUGAUAAUACAUGAAGAGAAUGAUGUUACAUGAUGACUUAA